Molecule: long non-coding RNA, 565 nt
Filed under: Medicago truncatula (barrel medic)
Lineage: Eukaryota; Viridiplantae; Streptophyta; Magnoliopsida; Fabales; Fabaceae
Description: lncRNA gene30244
Source: RNAcentral
UUUACUCUGCAGAUUGGUUUUAGAGCACUCAAAUGCAACUUCAUAUGUGUAUGCAUAUAUUAUGCUUUCCACUCACGGGAGAAACCGUUCUCCCACUGUAUGGGUCCCAUAUGCAUAGGAGAUUUCUUGGUGCCAUUUGGAAGUAAUAGCAGGAGCAGUAAACCCCGUUUUGAAGCAUUGUAAUUUUGGGUUUGGUAGGUGUCAUUUAGAUUUGUCGGUGCUAUCUUUGUUCAACCCUAGUAAAAGGAAAAGAACAUGUCAAAGCCAUAGGCAUACAAGAGGAUUUAAUGUAUGCUUUCAAAAAUGUUCUGUCAUGGAAGAAUCUUCAGCCUUGCUUUCUCUGUUGGAAUUGGUGAUAUUCUCUUUGGUUACUACAUUGGAAUUCAGAUGCAAACUACAUGAAUGGAAAGUUUCUGCACGAAGGAAGCGUUGAUGCAUGGAUCCAAAUUCUCUGAACUGUUGGCAUAAAUUUUGUACAAAAGGAAGCUUACUUCCAUGACAAGUUAUCGAGUAAACUUUUUGUUAGUUAGUUAUCUGUAGUUAGCAAUUCGUUUCAUUAGUUAGU